Molecule: ribosomal RNA, 36 nt
Filed under: Angophora floribunda
Lineage: Eukaryota; Viridiplantae; Streptophyta; Magnoliopsida; Myrtales; Myrtaceae
Also listed under: 26 other names
Description: partial 18S ribosomal RNA
Source: RNAcentral
CAUUGUCGAAUCCUGCCCAGCAGAACGACCAGAGAA